UACGUAGGUGGCGAGCGUUGUCCGGAUUUACUGGGCGUAAAGAGCGCGCAGGCGGUCGUACAAGUCGCGUGUGAAAGCCCCCGGCUCAACUGGGGAGGGUCACGCGAUACUGUUCGACUCGAAGGCAGGAGAGGGAAGUGGAAUUCCCGGUGUAGUGGUGAAAUGCGUAGAUAUCGGAAGGAACACCUGUGGCGAAAGCGGCUCACUGGACCAUUACUGACGCUGAUGCACGAAAGCUAGGGGAGCAAACAGG
This 253-nucleotide ribosomal RNA is filed under the name uncultured bacterium. RNAcentral's name for it is "partial 16S ribosomal RNA". It matches the Rfam family "Bacterial small subunit ribosomal RNA", at positions 524 to 776 of the family's 1533-position model. The record is from RNAcentral.